ACCGAGAUAGCUCAGCUGGGAGAGCGUUAGACUGAAGAUCUAAACGGUCCCUGGUUCAAUCCCUAGUUUCGGUA
This is a non-coding RNA of Mesoplodon densirostris (Blainville's beaked whale), 74 nucleotides long. Lineage: Eukaryota; Metazoa; Chordata; Mammalia; Artiodactyla; Ziphiidae. The record is from the annotation of a RefSeq genome assembly.